Molecule: long non-coding RNA, 491 nt
Organism: Cloeon dipterum
Lineage: Eukaryota; Metazoa; Arthropoda; Insecta; Ephemeroptera; Baetidae
Exons: 3
Source: RefSeq, a predicted model, not a curated record
AGAUGGAAAUGGAUAUCUGGGACACUAUGGAAAUAGCACGUUGUAUUUUGGCAAUCCUGAUGGGCAAGUCUUGAAUCCGGUGGACGCGUACAAACGCUGCUGUGCACGCGGAAUGCAUCUCCUGGAACCUGAAUCAUUGGCCGAACUGACAGACCUUUUAAGACCAUAUACCGAUAGAUUGUAUGGCGCGCUGGCGGUGAUCGGCGACACAAGGUCGAUCAACCAGACGCACGAGGUGUGGUGUCGCAGCGGACAGAUGGUUUCGCAAGACUUAUUCAUCCAAGGAGCUAACUGGUAUCCGUGCUGGCAAUCAGUGGUCAGCGUGAUGUUUGUCUCUCCUCCGUACAUUAUCCACGAGUACUUGGAAAACGAGAACAUCUACAAGAGCUUUCUCAACGGCACGUAUAACGUGCAAAAAUUCCAUACCUAUAUUUGUAUCAAACCGUAGUCGAAAACAAAAAAUGCUUUUCUAUAAAAUUGUUUGGUGUUGG